GCUGGCGGCAGCCCUUAUACAUGCAAGUCGAACGAGAAAGCUUCUUCGGAAGCGAGUAAAGUGGCGGACGGGUGAGUAACGCGUAGGAAUCUACCUUUCAGUGGGGGAUAGCUCGGGGAAACUCGAAUUAAUACCGCAUAUACCCUUAGGGGGAAAGGGGGCCUCUCCUUGGAAGCUCUCGCUGUUAGAUGAGCCUGCGUGAGAUUAGCUUGUUGGUAAGGUAAUGGCUUACCAAGGCUACGAUCUCUAGCUGGUCUGAGAGGACGAUCAGCCACACUGGGACUGAGACACGGCCCAGACUCCUACGGGAGGCAGCAGUAGGGAAUAUUGGACAAUGGGGGAAACCCUGAUCCAGGCAUGCCGCGUGUGUGAAGAAGGCCUUAGGGUUGUAAAGCACUUUAAGUGAGGAAGAAAAGAUUCAAAUUAACACUUUGAAUCCCUGACAUUACUCACAGAAUAAGGACCGGCUAACUCCGUGCCAGCAGCCGCGGUAAUACGGAGGGUCCAAGCGUUAAUCGGAAUUACUGGGCGUAAAGCGCGCGUAGAUGGUUUAUCUAGUUGGGUGUGAAAUCCCUGGGCUCAACCCAGGAACUGCAUUCAAAACUUAUAAACUAGAGUACGAAAGAGGAGAGCAGAAUUCAUGGUGUAGCGGUGAAAUGCGUAGAUAUCAUGAGGAAUACCAGUGGCGAAGGCGGCUCUCUGGUUCGAGACUGACAUUGAGGUGCGAAAGCGUGGGUAGCAAACAGGAUUAGAUACCCUGGUAGUCCACGCCGUAAACGAUGAGAACUAGCCGUUGGAUCUUUAGAUUCAGUGGCGCAGCUAACGCAUUAAGUUCUCCGCC
This 841-nucleotide ribosomal RNA is filed under the name uncultured Gammaproteobacteria bacterium. Its description in RNAcentral is "bacterial SSU rRNA". It matches the Rfam family "Bacterial small subunit ribosomal RNA", at positions 35 to 873 of the family's 1533-position model. The record is from RNAcentral. Lineage: Bacteria; Pseudomonadati; Pseudomonadota; Gammaproteobacteria.